ACGCUCGACACCUACGGGAGGCUGCAGUGGGGAAUAUUGGGCAAUGGGCGCAAGCCUGACCCAGCAACGCCGCGUGAAGGAAGAAGGCCCUCGGGUUGUAAACUUCUUUUGACAGGGACGAAGAAAAUGACGGUACCUGUCGAAUAAGCCGCGGCUAACUACGUGCCAGCAGCCGCGGUAAUCUGAGCGGGCUGGCAAGGC
Molecule: ribosomal RNA, 201 nt
Filed under: uncultured bacterium
Lineage: Bacteria
Description: partial 16S ribosomal RNA
Rfam family: Bacterial small subunit ribosomal RNA
Source: RNAcentral